UGGGGAAUAUUGGACAAUGGAGGGAACUCUGAUCCAGCAAUUCUGUGUGUGUGAAGAAGGUUUUAGGACUGUAAAACACUUUUAGUAGGGAAGAAAAAAAUGACGGUACCUACAGAAGAAGCAACGGCUAAAUACGUGCCAGCAGCCGCGGUAAUACGUAUGUUGCGAGCGUUGUCCGGAAUUAUUGGGCGUAAAGGGUACGUAGGCGGUCUAUUAAGUCAGGUGUGAAAGCGUGAGGCUUAACCUCAUUAAGCACUUGAAACUGAUAGACUUGAGUGAAGGAGAGGAAAGUGGAAUUCCUAGUGUAGCGGUGAAAUGCGUAGAUAUUAGGAGGAAUACCGGUGGCGAAGGCGACUUUCUGGACUUUUACUGACGCUCAGGUACGAAAGCGUGGGGAGCAAACAGG
Molecule: ribosomal RNA, 406 nt
Filed under: Verrucomicrobiota bacterium
Lineage: Bacteria; Pseudomonadati; Verrucomicrobiota
Description: Verrucomicrobia bacterium partial 16S ribosomal RNA
Rfam family: Bacterial small subunit ribosomal RNA
Source: RNAcentral